UUUACAUGUUCUUGUAAACACACUGCACAAUGUUGCUGUUGUCAGCAGUUGCAUUAUGCAAACCAUGGCUGAUCUGAUCACAUAGCAGAGAGUUUGACCACAACUUUGACUAAACAAAUGAGAAUGACUCUGACGUAGCCUCUUUAACCCAGAUCCGUACACAGGCUCAAUCUAAAAACACACCUCUCUCCCUCUCUCUCUCUCUAACAUGCACUCUCUUUCUCUUAAUAAGUCUACCCACCCACCCAACCACCCCCAGAGGUCACGUGAGUCAAUCAGCCCCAUGGUAGUGUUGAUUGAUGACUUCAGCCAGAACCAGGCUUUAACCACAGACACAUACAAACUCCCAUUACUCACCUCAAAGAUAAGCAAAUGGUCUGUAAGCCACCAAUGGCUCUAAGUGCUGUACAAACACAGGUAAUGCUGGCCUCAUUUCAAAAGUCUUCAUUACCUAACCACAGCCUCGACAAAACAAAAACAUAUACAUAUAAUAAAGAUGGCAGUAUGCUGGGCCCCUUUCAUCUCUUGAUCUAGAAGCGCAAGGUCAGAUCAAAUCAGUGGGUCUGUUUUCAGCAGUGUAUCUGUGAUGCCGUCGGCGAUGACGCACCCUGACGAAUAAUAAGAUGGACUUAAAAUGAAAUUUUCUGGAUGUGCUGCCAAAAAGAUGCGCCAGAGUUACUGAGCAGAGAUGAGGAGGUUAAGAAGCCAACGUGUACUUGGGUCUGACGCAAACUGACAGUACAGUACAAUACAGGUAGUGUAUCGACAGUCAAGGGAUGCGGGCAUGAUUAACAUAUGAUGAUUCAAAGCCUCUGACAAGCUCUGUCACAAGACUGGAGUCUGGAGGGAGGAUUACAAGGCCAGAUGUUAACAGGAGUGGAAAUGGCCCUAAAAAGAGCAGUAGGAAAGAGCUCUAAUCAUGUAUUUUGGAAGAAUGGUUGUCAUCUCGCUAGCAGAGCUCCACGGGCGUGAAAAAACUACAAUGUUGGUUUUUCCUUUAGUCAGUCAACCAUAUGACGAGCGAACUUAGAGUUCCAAACUUCAGUUUAGCAUUGAGUGUUUGGAAUAUUCUCAGGAUAUGGAGCUGAACAAGUGGAUUCAUAUGAAAAGUACCGUAUUGUAGCGGGUGCCAGUACUGGUACUGGUGCCACUGUUGGCUUGAGAGGCUGUAUACACUUGCACAGUUUCCCCCUUUACGUACACUCAUCCAGCAUCGAGUGUUCACGUGGCCUCCUAUUAAACAGACAAAUAGAAGAUAUUAUCUUGACUUAUGGCUAGCUUUAGCAUUAGACCGACCUUGCUUUGCUUUGGUAGGGCACCAGUGCUGCUGAUCUCGGCACCAUUGUAGAGCCGAUAUAAAGGACAUAUGCAGCAUUAAACUUGUCAGCAAGUGAAACCUUAAAUUUUAAGAGAAAAAAUAAUUUCUUUCUUUUUUUUUUAACCGGUACUGCACCUUAAAAUGUAGAAGAAGUGCAAGUUUUUACGUUAAAAACUUGGCCGAAAGUAUCUGCUGACUUUUGAAAUUCAGACAAAUUAUAAUGAUUUUGCCCAAUGAGUGGGGAUCAGCUGAAGAAUAGAUACUUGUCCCCAGCACAGUCCAAACGUCACAGGCCUAUAGUCUGUCGCUACUGCGCACUCAGCAGUACUUCUCCAUGCUCUUCUUGCACAACAGGCUGGAGCAGGCAGAUGAAAGGAGCGUCCACACUGGGCUCUGGCUCCAGCCCCCCUCCAUCCAUCACAAUCAACGCCAACAGUCAACCCAAUUAGGCCCCCGGAACACUCAGGGCCACGGCUUGAUUGUUAACACUGUGAAAACACAGAGGGAAGGAGGGUGGACGCUGGGCGAUGAUGGGAAUUCUGAAAGCUUGGGGGGAGUUUGGGGAAAGAUCGGGGAGGAGAGGGGGGAGGAAGGUCAGAUAGAUGGCAGCCCCAUUUCCUCUCUAAUGGUCUCCAAACGAGGGAAUAUGAGGGAAUGUUACCCAGUAAAGCAGGUGACCCAGAGAAAAGGUGGGGGCAGCCACACCCACCCCUGAACCCUCGUUUGACUUGGAACAUACGCACAUCUGCAUAGAAGCCAUUAAAAAGAAAGACAUGAAGGGUCAUGCAGGAGUAUAAUUAUGCAUGCAAGGACUGUAGAAAGCACACUCAAGGGAAAAACAUAAAUAAAAAUUAUGAGCAGAAGUACGCCUCGGAGAGCUUGUUCUUGAACAUAAGAGUGCGUGUAAGACAAACACAAUGACUUCUAUAGCGUCAUUUCCAGCAAUCCCAUAACUCUCGCCCACCACAACCGCUGAUUUGUUUCAGUUCUCUCAUCGAAAAGCCAUUAAGCGCUAUGGUGCACUUGGCUGUGCUAGUCAGUUUAAUCAGCUUUCCCUGUUCGGUGGAAGUUACAGGAAACGGCAGAAAGGAACACCUGGACUGGGUUACACCAUUCAGGAAUCCAUGAAUAAAGCAUUUAGAAACAACUAGCUACUUUGGAAAUGUGACUUACAAAAUCGGGUGGCACCGUUAACUGCAUCCUUAAGGCCAAAACGGCCAUAAUAAAGGGAAAUAUGCCUGUUUUGAAAUAAACAGGAAUUAUCCUUUAUUGGAUGGCGAGUUAGCUAAUAAGAUCAUGUUGUGCAUUGGGAGCUAGGAAACAUAUGGAGAAUCAAAACAAAGUCAAUACUGGUAACUUUAUUUGCAAAUGUAUAAGAAGGACUUUUAAUAAGAUCAAGAACUGGGGCUCCAUUGAAUGAAUGAAUGAAAACAUUUUUCUAUUUGCAGUUUUCAUUGUGUUUUUGGUAGAAGGGAUUAAUACAACAGACAUAGCCCCAUUAUUAGGUUUCAGUUGUAUUAAGAACCACUUGAUGGUCUACAAGUUUCUGUAGUGUUUGACUACACCUCUAACGUGUCAUUACCAUUGGAAAACAUGCCAUUAUGAGACUGUAUCAUGUUGUAAAUGAUAAGUAGCCAAUCGUCAAGCAUUAGCAGAAUGUUAACAUUUUCUGGACAAAAUGAGCUUCCCUAAACAAAGAAAAGAUAAAAAUGUAUUUGUAUUUCUGUUUGGAAAUGCAACUGUUACAGCAAUUUUGAAAGCCAAUAAAAUAUAAAACAUUAAAAUGCGAGCUUUAAGUCAAGACACAAGAUGCAAAUAACUGUUUUUGCUCUUUGGCUCUAGCUACUUUUAGCUGCUUCCAGUGUGGUUGAUUUUUACGCCUGAUGUCCAUCCUGAUGAGCCUUCAAAGGGAUUUAUGUCGGUCUCUGGAUCAAUUUUGACUCUUUAGCUUUGAUAUUAGUCUCGUGGGACAAAAAAAGUUAGCUGAUGUUCGAGUGAGCUGCAGUUACAGCAUUUUGUUGGGAAGAUGGGUGUGAUGUUCAAAACAAAUCUAGGCCUUCAUAUUAAUUUUUAACACUAAUUGCUUUGAAUUACAUUUAAAUUCAAGAAAUUUCCUUCUAAAAAUAAACAAAUAUCUAAAGUAAGAAAUGUAGAAAUCUAGUAAAUCCACCUUAAUUACCUUGUUAAAUGUCAAGAUUACAAAAUAAUGUAGCGUUUUAAAAAUGAUCAUCUUUUAUCUUUGCCUUAGCUUAUAGGACGUGUUUAUUACGCCAGCCAGGUGACGAGGACUGUGGUCUUACCUUCCACAUGUGGAGGGCUUGAGGAGUAGCAGUUUGCAUGGUGUCCAGUCUGCCCUGAGUCUAACAGGAGAAGAUGAAGAAAGCAGAAGUUAAAGAACAGGUUCACAUGGCUGAAGUCUAUCUCAGCUAUCACAGGGAGAGAGGCGAGGUCCACCUGAACAGGCCAUCAGUCUUUCACAACAGAUGGAAAACCACAUUCUCAAGUCUACACCAUUGUGUUUUUAGGCGUAUCCUAACAAGUGUCUCAUGGGAUUGUGAGAGAGCACAAAACUCCUCAGAAAGACCCCUGCUGACAUUUGACAUUUGAACCCAGAGCCUUCUCGCUGCAUGGAAAGAGUGGCAAUUUCAGGGUCUAAUCCUGCAUUUUGUUUAUUUAUUUUUGCAUCUACAGAGCAGCUGCAUUAACACACUCACCUGGAGUGUCAGUUAUCAGCCUUCUACCCUAAGCUUUGUCAGCUGGUUCAAUCAGUGACACAAAAGUCUGACAUAUUAUGACUUAAACUGGUUUUCACCCUGUUACUGUCAGGUAUGAUCUCUUCUCUUUCUUGUAAAAACAAACCAACCUAAACACACACAGUUGAAUGCCACUUUUUUUGUCAAUUACUCUGUACGGCCGUAUGGAUUCUGAUGAAAUGGAGUGUAUGAGUUGUGACACACUGCUCUCUGGUUAGCUCAUUGACUGAGUCAAGGUCUGUUUCGAGCCAUUUUUCUCCAGCGUCCUUGCUGUAUGUGCCAAACUCUAAGCAAAGCCUGCUGUUCUUACCAUUUCUGGUAACACAAUCCCACUUCAUUUGGGUUAAUAAGUGAAACCAACUGGGCUCUGUCUCUUUUUCCUCUUUGUGUGAGUGUGGGUUGGUAGGAGCUGGGAAAUCGUGCACACACUUCAAUAAAACUGUUUUUUUAGAUAUCUGGUGCAUCGUUAUUGUAUUUGUCAUUUACGCAUGUGUAAAUGACAAGUCUUAAAAGAAUCUUAUCAGGUUGAAUUUCAGUGGACACACUGAAGGCUUUACAGUAAACUCUGUUAGUAGUAUCGCCCUGGAUGUUUUGAUUCGUCCUUGCAUGUGUGCUGGUGCAUAUGUAACUGUGGUUAUUAAGUAAUAAAUGCCAACCA
This is a long non-coding RNA of Haplochromis burtoni (Burton's mouthbrooder), 4729 nucleotides long. RefSeq lists it as uncharacterized. The record is from RefSeq and is a predicted model, not a curated record. The transcript is spliced from 3 exons. Lineage: Eukaryota; Metazoa; Chordata; Actinopteri; Cichliformes; Cichlidae.